AGUUCUCUGUUUUAUGAUCAUCUUCUUUGGCAUUACCAAUUCACUCGUGCAUCAAGUAUUCCGAAAAGAUGGUCAACCAGUUGACUACGGAGUCCUCGGGGUGAUGAUGUACACGUGUGUGGUGUGGACAGUCAAUUGUCAAAUGGCAAUCUCUAUCAACUACUUCACUUGGAUUCAGCACUUCUUCAUUUGGGGCAGCAUUGCCAUUUGGUACGUGUUUUUAGUUGUUUAUGGCUCUCUUUCGCCUAUAAUAUCUACAACCGCGUACAAAAUUCUUGUGGAAGCUUGUGCUCCGAGUCCUUUCUUUUGGCUUGUCACACUCCUGGUUGUCGUUGCCACUUUGUUACCAUACGUUACGUACAGGGCAUUUCAAACACAGUUCCAUCCUAUGUACCAUGAUCAGAUUCAAAGGAAACAAUUCGAAAGUUUAAACAGUGACUUUUCUGAGGAGUCCAGUGACAGAGGCAAACAAAAGAUAGAUCUUUAAUAUUUAGUUUGUAGUUUAUAAUUGACUGUUUAAUUUGUAAAGUUAAUCAAGUUGUGUAAAGUAGAUAUAUAACAAUACUGAGUGAAUAGGGCUAGGAAAGUAGAAACUAACAUUUU
RNAcentral lists this unclassified non-coding RNA (603 nucleotides) under Hevea brasiliensis (rubber tree). Lineage: Eukaryota; Viridiplantae; Streptophyta; Magnoliopsida; Malpighiales; Euphorbiaceae. The record is from RNAcentral.